This 660-nucleotide ribosomal RNA is filed under the name Marinovum sp. RNAcentral describes it as "bacterial SSU rRNA". It matches the Rfam family "Bacterial small subunit ribosomal RNA", at positions 37 to 743 of the family's 1533-position model. Lineage: Bacteria; Pseudomonadati; Pseudomonadota; Alphaproteobacteria; Rhodobacterales; Roseobacteraceae. The record is from RNAcentral.
UAAUGGCGGCGGCUACACAUGCAAGUCGAGCGAGCUCUUCGGAGCUAGCGGCGGACGGGUUAGUAACGCGUGGGAACGUGCCCUUCACUGCGGAAUAGCCACUGGAAACGGUGAGUAAUACCGCAUACGCCCUUCGGGGGAAAGAUUUAUCGGUGAAGGAUCGGCCCGCGUUAGAUUAGAUAGUUGGUGGGGUAACGGCCUACCAAGUCUACGAUCUAUAGCUGGUUUUAGAGGAUGAUCAGCAACACUGGGACUGAGACACGGCCCAGACUCCUACGGGAGGCAGCAGUGGGGAAUCUUGGACAAUGGGCGCAAGCCUGAUCCAGCCAUGCCGCGUGAGUGAUGAAGGCCUUAGGGUCGUAAAGCUCUUUCGCCAGAGAUGAUAAUGACAGUAUCUGGUAAAGAAACCCCGGCUAACUCCGUGCCAGCAGCCGCGGUAAUACGGAGGGGGUUAGCGUUGUUCGGAAUUACUGGGCGUAAAGCGCACGUAGGCGGAUCAGAAAGUUGGGGGUGAAAUCCCGGGGCUCAACCCCGGAACUGCCUCCAAAACUCCUGGUCUUGAGUUCGAGAGAGGUGAGUGGAAUUCCGAGUGUAGAGGUGAAAUUCGUAGAUAUUCGGAGGAACACCAGUGGCGAAGGCGGCUCACUGGCUCGAUACUGA